RNAcentral lists this ribosomal RNA (485 nucleotides) under uncultured Clostridium sp. Its description in RNAcentral is "bacterial SSU rRNA". It matches the Rfam family "Bacterial small subunit ribosomal RNA", at positions 907 to 1392 of the family's 1533-position model. Lineage: Bacteria; Bacillati; Bacillota; Clostridia; Eubacteriales; Clostridiaceae. The record is from RNAcentral.
GAAUUGACGGGGGCCCGCACAAGCAGUGGAGUAUGUGGUUUAAUUCGAAGCAACGCGAAGAACCUUACCAGGGCUUGACAUCCCUCUGACAGCUCUAGAGAUAGGGCUUCCCUUCGGGGCAGAGGAGACAGGUGGUGCAUGGUUGUCGUCAGCUCGUGUCGUGAGAUGUUGGGUUAAGUCCCGCAACGAGCGCAACCCUUGUCGUUAGUUGCCAGCACGUUAAGGUGGGCACUCUAGCGAGACUGCCGGCGACAAGUCGGAGGAAGGUGGGGACGACGUCAAAUCAUCAUGCCCCUUAUGUCCUGGGCUACACACGUACUACAAUGGCUGCUACAAAGGGAAGCGAUACCGCGAGGUGGAGCAAAUCCCCAAAAGCAGUCCCAGUUCGGAUUGCAGGCUGAAACUCGCCUGCAUGAAGUCGGAAUUGCUAGUAAUGGCAGGUCAGCAUACUGCCGUGAAUACGUUCCCGGGCCUUGUACACACCG